AUCCUGGCUCAGGUUGAACGCUGGCGGCAGGCCUAACACAUGCAAGUCGAGCGGUAACAGAAAGUAGCUUGCUAGUUUGCUGACGAGCGGCGGACGGGUGAGUAAUGCUUGGGAACAUGCCUUGAGGUGGGGGACAACAGUUGGAAACGACUGCUAAUACCGCAUAAUGUCUACGGACCAAAGGGGGCUUCGGCUCUCGCCUUUAGAUUGGCCCAAGUGGGAUUAGCUAGUUGGUGAGGUAAUGGCUCACCAAGGCGACGAUCCCUAGCUGGUUUGAGAGGAUGAUCAGCCACACUGGGACAAGGCGACGAUCCCUAGCUGGUUUGAGAGGAUGAUCAGCCACACUGGGA
RNAcentral lists this ribosomal RNA (350 nucleotides) under Pseudoalteromonas sp. RNAcentral describes it as "bacterial SSU rRNA". It matches the Rfam family "Bacterial small subunit ribosomal RNA", at positions 16 to 359 of the family's 1533-position model. The record is from RNAcentral. Lineage: Bacteria; Pseudomonadati; Pseudomonadota; Gammaproteobacteria; Alteromonadales; Pseudoalteromonadaceae.